UACGUAGGGUGCAAGCGUUGUCCGGAAUCAUUGGGCGUAAAGGGCGUGUAGGUGGUCUGCUAAGUCAUGUGUGAAAGCCCCAGCUCAACUGGGGAAGUGCGCAUGAAACUGACAGGCUAGAGUACCGAAGAGGAAGGUGGAAUUCCCGGUGUAGCGGUGAAAUGACGUAGAUAUCGGGAGGAACACCUGUGGCGAAGGCGGCCACCUGGUUGGAUACUGACGCUGAG
Molecule: ribosomal RNA, 227 nt
Filed under: uncultured bacterium
Lineage: Bacteria
Description: partial 16S ribosomal RNA
Rfam family: Bacterial small subunit ribosomal RNA
Source: RNAcentral